This is a long non-coding RNA of Nyctereutes procyonoides (raccoon dog), 1001 nucleotides long. RefSeq lists it as uncharacterized. The transcript is spliced from 3 exons. The record is from RefSeq and is a predicted model, not a curated record. NCBI's taxonomy places the organism in Eukaryota, Metazoa, Chordata, Mammalia, Carnivora, Canidae.
AAAAAUCAGCUAUUAGUUUCACUUGCAGGAUGCAGGACGUGGCUACAACAGGGGGAGCCCCGCUGCCGCCCCAGAAAGUCGCUGCUGGCCCCGGGGAUGGGAGAGUAGUGAGGGGGAGAAGGAGUCUUGUGCCAAUAGGAAGUCACGCUACGCUCCUCCCUCCCUACAGCGUUUAUCCAAGCCAGGCAAGUACUUUCCAAUAAAGGAUUUUGAUGAUGAUGAAGAAGAUGAAGAAGAAGAAUGAAGAAGAGGAGGAGUCUUCCAAAAUGGAUAAAGGAAAGCAGCCCUAGCAUGGAAGACUCAGCAUGUGAAGGAGAACCUACAGAUGCAAGAUCUGCCCCAGCUCUGCCAUUAACCUGGGCGCCCUUCCCUUCCCUUCCCUUCCCUUCCCUUCCCUUCCCUUCCCUUCCCUUCCCCUGUCUGAGCCUGUUUUCUCAUUACCAACAGAACAAGUCAAUCUCAUACAUAUCUUUUCACCCAGUCUAGUCCAUGUUUUUGUUAUCUAAUACCUGUCAUAUUUAUUAUUGUUUAUAGUUAUUAUUUAGAUUGAUAGGUAUUAAUAAAAGUGGAUUUCUAUUGAGUGCUUAAUAUUUACUAGGAUUACACCAUAUAUUCUAACAUUUCAUUCAUUCAUUUCAUCCAUGUAUUCUAACAUUUCAUUCUCAGAGAGACCCUAGUGAUUGCAUACUUCUCAGAUACAACAGCUGAGGUUCAGAGUAGUAACAUAAAUGUCCCAAAGUGAGACAAAGAAUAAGUGACAGAGCUGGGAUUUGAGCCUGAACCUAUUUUUUCCCCCAAGAACUUCAUUUUCUUCAUGUUGCCCUAGCCCCUGGUCAGAAUCUGACAGGAGACGAAGAGCAACGCUGAUAAGUCACAGAGCAUGAGCUCCCCCUUCCUCAGUUCCUUAUUGUCACCAUGCAGAAGCAAACAUGAAACAAUGGCCUCUGCAAAUCUCUGGUGAUUCUCCAGAUCUGGAGAAUCUUUUUCUUCGCUAGAGAAAG